Non-coding RNA from Heterocephalus glaber (naked mole-rat), 4787 nucleotides. The record is from RefSeq and is a predicted model, not a curated record. Lineage: Eukaryota; Metazoa; Chordata; Mammalia; Rodentia; Bathyergidae.
AGUGACCCUGGCCCGGAUCGCCUCUCGGUUCCGCCGGGCGGGUUGGAGGCAGCGCGGCCCGGCGGGCCUGGGGGAGGGGCGGCUCCUUUCGAAGAGUCCUCCCCGGCGGGCGCCCGGUGCUUUCUGACCCUCAUCCUACCUCUGCUUGAACCUUCUUUUCUGCGGCCCGAGCCCCCGGUCCUUGCUGCCCGGAUUCCGUCCUUGCGGCCUGAUCCCUGUCCUUGCACCCCUGGAUUCCUGUCCUUGCGCCAUGCCCAGCGCCCCAAACCGCCAUCUCCGUGGCCUGGAUCCUCAUCCUUGCUGCCCAAACCCCAUCUCUGCAGCCUGAACCCCCAUCUGCCACCUCCUCAGUUCCUCCACCUCUGCCUGUCUCCUUCGAACGCCCUCCUGCUGCUUUGCACCCAGCUUUUUUUUUUUUUUUUUUUUUUACUACUGUGAACCCUUCUUCUGCAGCUUGAGCCCCUCCUAUGUUGCUGUGAACCCCACCACACCCACACACACCCCUUUCUGUUUCUGCCCACAGUCAAAGCAGUCUCUGCUGUGAACAUGGCGCACGGGCACAUCGGCAGCAGACCUUGAAGCACUUUGUUUGUGCCAAAUCAUUACCACUUGCCACAUGAGUCUAAAUCAUGACGGAUGCCAAGUACGUCCUCUGCAGAUGGGAAGAGCGAUUAUGGCCUGCAAAGGUUUUGGACGGACCCAAGACUUCAAAUGAUGAGGGAGAAAAGGAAUUCUUUCUAGAUGUUCAAAUACUCUCGCUAGAUGAAAAAAUUAAGGUGAAAAGCACAGAAGUUGAGACUCUGAAGAAGUCUCAGAUUGAGAACAUUGCCUCACUCUUGGCCUCGCAGACUGAAGUCCCCACUGCGCCCCUGAAGGAGCUGACCUACAGACGCUCGCUGCGGGUGGCCCUGGAUAUUUUGAAUGAGAGAAGCAGUUCAAGUCUUGAGGAAAGCACCUCAAGGAGAAACAGAUCUGCUCAGUGUCGAAGGGAGAACGAGCCUACCGAAGCGGCCUCCUCGCUCCGUAACUCUCUCUGUUCUUCCUUCCGCGAAGAUGUGUCAGCCAGUUCUGGUUCGUCCGCUUGUGAAAAAGACCCUGAGUUCAAAGUGGACCAUGAGGAGGGCCUGGGGAAAAGCAAGAGCCCGGGGGCCCUGUCAGCGGCUCCAGCUGGAGCUGGCCCUCAGGAUGGGAGUGGGUGGAGGAGCCACGGCACAGGUCACAGCCUCGCUAAGAGGAAGGGGAGGAAUGUGGCCCAGAGAUCCAGCCAGUGCCAGGAGGCACCUGCCCUUUUGGGAGCACAGAGUGAGGAGCAGAGCACGGGCCAGGCCUCGCCGCCCCAAGCCCGGGAGGACGAUCCGUGUGCCCGCGCUGAAGGACACGACCCUGGUUUGCCAUCGGGCAGCCUCACAGUCCCGGCCCCGGAGAGGGCCAGAGGGCACCCCGUGAAGAGGCUGUGCCUGAGGCCACCUUCCACACAGCUGGAGCUGGAGCUGUCCCCCAGCCUGCGGCCCGGGGGAUACAUGACUCUGCGCAGUGCCGCUGCCAGCCCUUGUCCCUCAGACACUCGGGUGGAGGACUCACAACCCCCUCGUCUCCAGGACAGUGGCGACGACAGGCUGGAGGAAGACCCUCAAGCUUCUCAGGAGUGCACGGAGUUUAAUUCCAACAACUCCAUCCUGGAUGAAGAGGAGGAAGAUGAGGAGCCUCCGAGAAUCCUUUUCUAUCACGAACCGCGGUCGUUUGAAGUAGGAAUGCUAGUCUGGCUUAAAUACCAAAAAUAUCCCUUCUGGCCAGCAGUGGUCAAAAGCGUGAAGCGGCGGGAGAAGAAAGCAAGCGUGCUCUUCAUCGAGCGGGACAUGAACCCCAAAGGGCGUGGCAUCACCGUGUCGCUCAGAAGACUGAAGCACUUUGACUGUAAGGAGAAGCAGGCGCUUCUGGACAAAGCCAAAGAGGACUUCGACCAGGCCAUUGGCUGCUGCAUCUCCCUCAUCACCGACUACCGGGUGCGGCUAGGUUGUGGCUCUUUCACUGGCUCCUUUCUGGAAUAUUUCGCUGCUGACAUCAGUUACCCUGUCCGGAAAUCCAUCCAGCAGGAUGCUGAGGGGACCAGGUUCCCCCAGCUGAGCAGGGCGGACCCUGAGGAGCCAGAGGGCAACAGCCCCCUGGGCUGGAGGCGGCCCUGCAGGAAGGUGCUGCCUGACCGCUCACGGGCCGCCCGGGACCGCGCCAACCAGAAGCUGGUGGAGUACAUCGUGAAGGCCCGAGGUGCUGAGAGCCACCUUCAUGCCAUCCUAAAGAGUGGCAAGCCAUCUCGGUGGCUGAAGAUGUUCCUGAGCUCGGGCCAGUAUGUGACGUGCAUGGAGACAUACCUGGAGGACGAGGAGCAGCUGGACCGCGUGGUCAAGUACCUGCAGGGCGUCUACCAGGACAUGGACGGUGACAAGCUGGCGAGGGCCAGCGGCGACCGCAUCCGCUUUAUCCUGGAUGUGCUGCUACCCGAAGCCAUCAUCUGCGCCAUCUCUGCCGUGGAUGCGGUGGACUACAAGACGGCUGAGGAGAAGUACCUAAAGGGACCAUCGCUCGGCUACCGGAGUUUCAACCCAGCUGAAUUAAUAGAACUAGAAGGGCCAUUGGGCAUGGUGGCACAUACCUGUGAUCCAGCUUUCUGGGAGGCUGAGCCAGGAAGAUACCAAAUUCAAGCCCAGCCUGGGCAACUUACUACUUAGUGAGAUCCUGUCUCAAAAGCCCUGCUUCCUGGGAGAGGUUGCUGCUAAGCAGUUGUCAUUUGAUGAGGACACUCAGGGUCCACCAGGGGAGCUCAGUGCUGGCCAUGCCUCUUCUCACAGCUACUUGGUGGAAGGCUGAGGGAAAAACAAAUAUUUGAUAAUCAGGUCCUGGAAGAAAGGAGUCGGCGCCGCCGGUGAUGUGCACCCAUGCAAGCAUCUGAGCCGAGGCACACGCUCUACAUGGCCCGAGAGUGGCUGGCACGGGGACACCCCCUCCUGUGCGUGGGCCGCUCUAGGACACGGACCCCGGGAUCUGUCAGGUGCCCAUGGCUCCAACCCUCCCAUUCACAGUCAGAAGAGACUGUGUCAUGGCCAGCAAAAGCCAGUCUCUGUGUUGCUGUUUUCCGGAAUAUAUAUUUCCUGAGAUGUUUAAAAUCCCUGUAUUUUACGUCGUCCGUUGUGACUGUAUAGUUUGAUAUGAGUUGCACACGUAUUUUAUGUCACACAUCACAUCCAGUAUUAAAUGAGAGUUUUUAGAAAGUGUCUGAUGUGGCUGGGUCAUGGGUGGCUGUGGAGCAUCCAUGUGUCUUUUGGUCUUGUUUGUCACAGUCCCCUCUGUGUAGUCCCCCAGCCCACCUCGGGAGUCUCCUGUCCCACCCCUGCUGUCUCUGUGACUACAGCACCAAAGGCCAGCGUUGCUAGGACGUCGUAUAGGGGAAGGCAGGAGACUAAGCCUGCAGCUGGACACCGAGGUUGCCCUGGCCCCCCAUCCCCUGGCUGUGCUGUCUCUGCACGGCCAGCCCCUCAGGUCUUUGUAUGCUACCUGGACAGUUACCGUGGGAUCCCAGAAUGGCCUCCACCCCACUCCAUGUCACCAUAGGAGCUGUGGACCAGGUGGCAGUAGUGUGAGAAAAACCCCUUGCUCCUGGCCCUGGCCCUGGCCCCUGCAGCAGUGAGGCUUUUCUAGCCACAGCAUGGGGACAAGGACCGGGUUCAGGGCAGCCCCAUGGCCUCAUGGUCCAGAGAUUUUGUCACAGUCAGGGCCACAGCUCGAUGAAUUACUCUAUCCGAUGCUCUAGGCUCCUCUGCGUGAAGUCAGUGUGGCCAAGGGAGUUUUCAGACUGUGGCAGAGGUGAAGGCCAUCUGCCUCUGCUGGGUGUGGUUAUUGUUACUUGUCCCUCCGCUGAGUUGUGAUUGUCCCCUCUGGAGACCUGGGUUUGUGAGGUUGGGACCUCUUCCCCACUGUCCCCCUCACCCCGUGCCAGAGGUGUGGAGGGAGUAGGGGCAGAGACGGCAGCAUGGUCCCUGUCACUGUUCCUUGGAGAGAGUGACGUGCCCAGGCCACCCAUUCCAAGUAGGGGGCAGGAACAUGAUGGCUCCGGGCCUGAGAAGGUUCCACUGGCCCAUUUCAUUGCAGUUGGUUUUGCUGGGAUCUCCAAGGAGAUGGAGGGGGAAUUGAGAUGCAAAACUGGCCCAGCUGGGCUGUUCUGCCUCCAGCCACUUGCAGGGUCCAUGUCCCAGGCAGGGUCUCAGCGGAGCAUUGCCAGCGCCAUGCCUGUCACCUAGCUCUGUCCUCCCUGAGGAGGGGCCACCUCCCUCUCGCCCUCCUUCCUGGGAAAGCUCACCCCAUUGGCCAUGGGGACCUGGCCCUGGGCCUCCUGUCUGCGUUGCUCAGUAGCCAAUGCUGCACACAAACACCCGUGACGUCCUGGCGGGGCAAGGUCCUGUGAAAGUGGAGUCCUUGUGUGUGAUUGCUGUUGUCACAAAGUCUGUCUUUUUUUUUUUUCUUCACUAAGGAUUGGUUCCAGGGCUUUGCUUUACAUUGAGCUGCAUCCCCAUCCCUUUUUUAUUUUGAGACAGUCUUGCUGAGGUGCUCAUGCUGUGCCCAGACUUUUGAUCCUGCUGCCUCAGCUUCCCAUAGUGUUAGAUUUACCUGUGUACACCAUGGCACCCAGCUGUGUCACAAAGUAUUUCUAUAUCUCCGUCUCUGGGCCUCCCUGCGCUGUGUCCUGAGGAUCGGAUUGUCUAGCCCUUACAACUUGAAUUAAAUGGCUUUUAGAA